GGGGCCAUAGUUCAAUCUUGGUUAGAGCGCCGGCCUGUCACGCCGGAGGUUGCGGGUUCGAGCCCCGUUGGCCCCG
Molecule: transfer RNA, 76 nt
Filed under: bacterium I07
Lineage: Bacteria
Rfam family: tRNA
About the family: Transfer RNA (tRNA) molecules are approximately 80 nucleotides in length. Their secondary structure includes four short double-helical elements and three loops (D, anti-codon, and T loops).
Source: Rfam by way of RNAcentral